Molecule: microRNA precursor, 180 nt
Organism: Homo sapiens (human)
Lineage: Eukaryota; Metazoa; Chordata; Mammalia; Primates; Hominidae
Source: Ensembl
CGCGACUGCGGCGGCGGUGGUGGGGGGAGCCGCGGGGAUCGCCGAGGGCCGGUCGGCCGCCCCGGGUGCCGCGCGGUGCCGCCGGCGGCGGUGAGGCCCCGCGCGUGUGUCCCGGCUGCGGUCGGCCGCGCUCGAGGGGUCCCCGUGGCGUCCCCUUCCCCGCCGGCCGCCUUUCUCGCG